Molecule: long non-coding RNA, 589 nt
Filed under: Homo sapiens (human)
Lineage: Eukaryota; Metazoa; Chordata; Mammalia; Primates; Hominidae
Description: non-protein coding lnc-EMB-9:1
Source: RNAcentral
AUGGUCAAAGGAGAGCCUUAGAAGCCAAGAGGCAAAAUGUCAUCAUAUGCAUUCUUCAUGAAAUCUUGCCAAGAACAGCACAAGAAGCAGCACUCAGAUGUUUCCGUCAACUUCUCAGAAUUUUCUAAGAAAUGCUUAGAGAGGUGAAAGACCAUGGGUUCAAAACAGAAAGGGAAAUCUGAAGAUAGGGCAAAGGCAGACAAGGUCAGUUUAUGAAAGAGAAAUGAAAACAAAUAUCCCUCCUGCAGGGGAAACAAAAAAGAAAUCAAGGAUCCCAGUGCACCCAAUAGGCCUCCUUUGGCCUUAUUGUUCUCUUAUGAUUGUCACCCCCAAAUCAAAGAACAUCCUGGCCUAUGUGUAGGUGAUGUUGCAAAGAAACUGGCAGAGGUGGAAUAACACUGCUGCAGAUGACAAGAAGCUUUAUGAAAAGAAGGCUGCAAAGCUGAAGGAAAAUUACAAAGAGGAUAUUGCUGUAUACUAAUCUAAAGGAAAGCCUGAUGCAACAAAAACGGGAGUUAUUAAGGCUGAAAAAAGCCAGAAAAAGAAGGAAGAGGAGGAAAAUGAAAAUAAAAAAGAAGAUGAUGAUGAA